GGCCCUAUAGUUGAUUUUACAACACUAAACUGCAACUUUAAAGGAGUGAACUUUCACUGGGGCUU
Molecule: transfer RNA, 65 nt
Filed under: Magelona mirabilis
Lineage: Eukaryota; Metazoa; Annelida; Polychaeta; Spionida; Magelonidae
Description: tRNA-Cys
Source: RNAcentral